RNAcentral lists this ribosomal RNA (500 nucleotides) under uncultured Anaerolineaceae bacterium. Its description in RNAcentral is "bacterial SSU rRNA". It matches the Rfam family "Bacterial small subunit ribosomal RNA", at positions 903 to 1382 of the family's 1533-position model. Lineage: Bacteria; Bacillati; Chloroflexota; Anaerolineae; Anaerolineales; Anaerolineaceae. The record is from RNAcentral.
GCCAGCCCGCUCAGAAACUUAAAGGAAUUGACGGGGGCCCGCACAAGCGGUGGAGCAUGUGGUUUAAUUCGAAGCAACGCGAAGAACCUUACCAGGCCUUGACAUGCAGAGAACUUUCCAGAGAUGGAUUGGUGCCUUCGGGAACUCUGACACAGGUGCUGCAUGGCUGUCGUCAGCUCGUGUCGUGAGGUGUCGGGUUAAGUCCCAUAACGAGCGCAACCCCUACCUUUAGUUGCCAUCAGGUUAAGCUGGGGACUCUAAAGGAACUGCCUACGCAAGUAGUGAGGAAGGCGGGGAUGACGUCAAAUCAGCACGGCCCUUACGUCCAGGGCUACACACGUGCUACAAUGGCCGAUACAGAGGGCAGCUACCUGGUGACAGGAUGCAAAUCUCCAAAGUCGGUCUCAGUUCGGAUCGGAGUCUGCAACCCGACUCCGUGAAGUUGGAUUCGCUAGUAAUCGCGCAUCAGCCAUGGCGCGGUGAAUACGUUCCCGGGCCUU